This 484-nucleotide ribosomal RNA is filed under the name uncultured bacterium. Its description in RNAcentral is "partial 16S ribosomal RNA". It matches the Rfam family "Bacterial small subunit ribosomal RNA", at positions 28 to 507 of the family's 1533-position model. The record is from RNAcentral.
GACGAACGCUGGCGGCGUGCUUAACACAUGCAAGUCGUACGGUAAGGCCCUUUCGGGGGUACACGAGUGGCGAACGGGGGAGUAACACGUGUGUAACCUUCCCACGACGUGGGGAUAACGGUAGGAAACUGGGGCCAAUUCUGGAAAUCUUCUUCUGCGGCAUGGUGGGGGUUGGUAAGCUCCGGCGGUUUUGGAUGGGCUCGCGUCGGAUCAGCUAGUUGGUGGGGUAGAGGCCUACCAAGGCGGCGACCGGUAACUGGCCUGAGAGGAUGAGCAGUCACACGGGAACUGAGACACGGUCCAGACUCCUACGGGAGGCAGCAGUGGGGAAUAUUGGACCAUGGGCGAAAGCCUGAUCCAGCCAUGCCGCGUGUGUGAAGAAGGUCUUCGGAUUGUAAAGCACUUUAAGUUGGGAGGAAGGGCAGCAAGUUAAUACCUUGCUGUUUUGACGUUACCAACAGAAUAAGCACCGGCUAACUUCGUG